GAAUUCGCCCUUAGAGUUUGAUCCUGGCUCAGGACGAACGCUGGCGGCGUGCUUAACACAUGCAAGUCGAACGGAGUACCCUCGAAAGAGAUUUCGGUCAAUGGAGAGGACUACUUAGUGGCGGACGGGUGAGUAACGCGUGAGGAACCUGCCUUUCAGUGGGGGACAACAGUUGGAAACGACUGCUAAUACCGCAUAACGUACUGGUAUCGCAUGGUACUGGUACCAAAGAUUUAUCGCUGAGAGAUGGCCUCGCGUCUGAUUAGCUAGUUGGUAGGGUAACGGCCUACCAAGGCGACGAUCAGUAGCCGGACUGAGAGGUUGGCCGGCCACAUUGGGACUGAGAUACGGCCCAGACUCCUACGGGAGGCAGCAGUGGGGAAUAUUGGGCAAUGGGCGCAAGCCUGACCCAGCAACGCCGCGUGAAGGAAGAAGGCUUUCGGGUUGUAAACUUCUUUUGACAGGGAAGAGCAGAAGACGGUACCUGUCGAAUAAGCCACGGCUAACUACGUGCCAGCAGCCGCGGUAAUACGUAGGUGGCAAGCGUUGUCCGGAUUUACUGGGUGUAAAGGGCGUGUAGCCGGGCUGACAAGUCAGAUGUGAAAUCCGGGGGCUCAACCCCCGAACUGCAUUUGAAACUGUUGGUCUUGAGUAUCGGAGAGGCAGGCGGAAUUCCUAGUGUAGCGGUGAAAUGCGUAGAUAUUAGGAGGAACACCAGUGGCGAAGGCGGCCUGCUGGACGACAACUGACGGUGAGGCGCGAAAGCGUGGGGAGCAAACAGGAUUAGAUACCCUGGUAGUCCACGCUGUAAACGAUGGAUACUAGGUGUGCGGGGACUGACCCCCUGCGUGCCGCAGCUAACGCAAUAAGUAUCCCACCUGGGGAGUACGAUCGCAAGGUUGAAACUCAAAGGAAUUGACGGGGGCCCGCACAAGCGGUGGAUUAUGUGGUUUAAUUCGAUGCAACGCGAAGAACCUUACCAGGGCUUGACAUCCUACUAACGAAGUAGAGAUACAUUAGGUACCCUUCGGGGGAAGUAGAGACAGGUGGUGCAUGGUUGUCGUCAGCUCGUGUCGUGAGAUGUUGGGUUAAGUCCCGCAACGAGCGCAACCCUUAUUGUUAGUUGCUACGCAAGAGCACUCUAGCGAGACUGCCGUUGACAAAACGGAGGAAGGUGGGGACGACGUCAAAUCAUCAUGCCCCUUAUGUCCUGGGCUACACACGUAAUACAAUGGCGGUCAACAGAGGGAUGCAAAACCGUGAGGUGGAGCGAACCCCUAAAAGCCGUCCCAGUUCAGAUCGCAGUCUGCAACCCGACUGCGUGAAGUCGGAAUCGCUAGUAAUCGCGGAUCAGCAUGCCGCGGUGAAU
Molecule: ribosomal RNA, 1369 nt
Filed under: uncultured bacterium
Lineage: Bacteria
Description: partial 16S ribosomal RNA
Rfam family: Bacterial small subunit ribosomal RNA
Source: RNAcentral